This 79-nucleotide ribosomal RNA is filed under the name Pollicipes pollicipes. RNAcentral's name for it is "partial 28S ribosomal RNA". It matches the Rfam family "Eukaryotic large subunit ribosomal RNA", at positions 1 to 80 of the family's 3401-position model. Lineage: Eukaryota; Metazoa; Arthropoda; Thecostraca; Pollicipedomorpha; Pollicipedidae. The record is from RNAcentral.
CGACCUCGGGGGUGCUGGAUGACGCACUGAACUUAAGCAUAUCAUUAAGUGCAGGAAAAGAAACCNAAUGGGAUUCCCC